UUCCGUUCCUGUUCUCCUUCACUGUCUGCGUUGAAGCUACACUCUGCAGCAUGUGGCUCUCACAGGGCGUGAUGCUUCUAUAUCUAAAUAUGAAGUUUGCUGCAGACGAACCACCCUGAAAAGGCACUUUUCCUCAUGCGGAAUGAAGCUAAUCUUCCUACAACAGAUGCGAAGUCCAUCUUCGUAAUGAAAGGUUCACGUGGGUCCUCGUUGACACUCUGAAAAUGAGGAGGCCUGGUGAAAGAUGAGGGUCCUCAUUGAGACUGGCUGAAAAUGAUGCGGGCCUGUUGAAAGGUCCUGGUCAGUAAUGACAGACUAUGACGUCCCUCUGGUGCUGAGAAAAGAUGCUCAGGUUCAUUUGGGUCCUCGUUGACACUCUGACAAUGAGGAGGCCUGGUGAAAGGUUCGUUAGGGUCCUCGUUGAGACUGGCUGAAAAUGAUGCGGGCCUGGUGAAAGGUCCUGAUCAGUAAUUAAAGACUAUGACGUCCCUUUGGUGCUGAGAAAAGUUCACGUGGGUCCUCGUUGACACUCUGAAAAUGAGGAGGCCUGGUGAAAGGUUCAUGUGGGUCCUCGUUGACACUCUGACAAUGAGGAGGCCUGGUGAAAGGUUCUUGAGGGUCCUCGUUGGGUCGGUGGAAAAUGAUGCGGGCCUGGUGAAAGGUCCUGAUCAGUAAUGAAAGCCUGUGACGUCCCUCUGGUGCUGAGAAAAGUUGCUCAGGUAAUUUCAAGUGCUAAUGUUGACUUAAAGUCAAGCCGGUGAUGAAAAAAGUUGUCCCUGUCUGAACAUAAGUGUGGACCUAUUGCUUGACUGCAGAAACAGUUUGCUAACUGUCGUAGUUGGUUUUAAAUGUUUUUGUUUCCUUGCAGAACAAAUGGAGAAACCGAUUGGAUUGAUCCAGAAGUCAGACUCUGCAGUAGAAUUGUUGGUGUACAAAUUAAAAACAAUGUUUGCUCUAAAAUGUGUUUAAUAAAAUUGUUUGUACAAAACAUUUAAGUACAAUGGCACAUCGAAAGUAACAUGACUCUUACUGGGAGCAACCACCAUGCAUUGGUCAAUCUGUGUUGAAGGUCGAUCUGUAAGAUUUCUUCUUUAAAUUCUCCAAGAACACUUGCUCUUCUUGGAGGUAUUCACGGUCCUGGUGAGGAGGUGGAGAAACUCAAUGUUAAAAUGUACAUGUGACUGUGAGCCACUGUGGCAUUUUGUUCCUAUUGACAUUAAAAAACCUCAAUAUCAA
Molecule: long non-coding RNA, 1236 nt
Organism: Gymnodraco acuticeps
Lineage: Eukaryota; Metazoa; Chordata; Actinopteri; Perciformes; Bathydraconidae
Exons: 10
Source: RefSeq, a predicted model, not a curated record